This 252-nucleotide ribosomal RNA is filed under the name uncultured bacterium. RNAcentral describes it as "partial 16S ribosomal RNA". It matches the Rfam family "Bacterial small subunit ribosomal RNA", at positions 524 to 776 of the family's 1533-position model. The record is from RNAcentral.
UACGUAGGGGGCAAGCGUUGUCCGGAAUUAUUGGGCUUAAAGCGCGCGCAGGCGGCUGUUUAAGUCUGGUGUUUAAGCCCAGGGCUCAACCUUGGGACGCACUGGAAACUGGAUAGCUUGAGUGCAGGAGAGGGAAGUGGAAUUCCACGUGUAGCGGUGAAAUGCGUAGAGAUGUGGAGGAACACCAGUGGCGAAGGCGACUUUCUGGCCUGUAACUGACGCUGAGGCGCGAAAGCGUGGGGAGCAAACAGG